This 253-nucleotide ribosomal RNA is filed under the name uncultured bacterium. Its description in RNAcentral is "partial 16S ribosomal RNA". It matches the Rfam family "Bacterial small subunit ribosomal RNA", at positions 524 to 776 of the family's 1533-position model. The record is from RNAcentral.
GACAGAGGGGGCAAGCGUUGCUCGGAAUUACUGGGCGUAAAGGGCGCGUAGGCGGGAUGGCAAGUCGGUCGUGAAAUCCCUCGGCUCGACUGAGGAUCGUCGAUCGAUACUGCCGUUCUUGAGGAUUGCAGAGGAGACUGGAAUUCCCGGUGUAGCGGUGAAAUGUGUAGAGAUCGGGAGGAACACCGGUGGCGAAGGCGGGUCUCUGGGCAAUUCCUGACGCUGAGGCGCGAAAGCAUGGGGAGCGAACAGG